AUAUAUUCUUUGUUGAACAAUUUUGUAGAAUAUGAUAGUGUGUGAUUCUUGGUUGUAGAAAAGAUGUGAGUUUUAGUUCUAUAGAAUAGCUGUAAAUUGAUUCUUAAGAAAAGAUGUUAUUUUUAGUCUUGUAGAAUAGCUGUAAAUUGAUUCUUAAGAAAAGAUGUGAUUUUUAGUUUUGUAGAAUGGCUGUAACUUGAUAAAUCGUGAUUCUUGACUGUAGAGAAGAUGUGAUUUUUAGUUUUGUAGAAUAGCUGUAGUUAGAUAAAUUGUGAUUUUUGAGGGCUAUUUGGUUCAUUAAAGAUAGCUGUUUUGAGCUAAGUUACUCGGACUCUUCGAAAGUGUUGCCAUACCCGUGUUGGAUCCUCCAAAAAUACACUAUUUUUGAGGGAUCCGACACGCACCCGAUUUUAAGAGAGUCCGAGUAACUUAGGUUUUGAGUAUAGCUAGAUAUUAGGUCCUUGCUUGAUAGAGAAAUUUCUGAUCCUUUCAUUAUUGAUUACAUGUUUGUGUGGCUUUCAGCAUUAUGGUUAACUGAUCCCUGCGCCAAAAUGGCACAUUUUUGUAGCCUAAAGACCAAAAUAGCAUGCCAAAAUUUUUCUAUAACCAAAUGGGUUUUUCGUUGCACGUGCAACUAAAUGUCAAAAAACAUUAACGUCUCCAUCUAAAAAAAAAAAUACAUUUCGCCAUGAUUAUAACGAAAUGUAGUUAAUUUUUUUUUCUCAUUUCGCCAUGGUUAUAAUGAAAUGUAAUUAGCUUUUUUUUUUUCUACAUUUCGCCAAGAGCCCAACAAAAUGCUCUUAUUUUUUUUAUUAAUUUUUUGCACUUCGCUGGACAUGUUCUGUGCUUUUUUUUUUUUACAUUUCAUUUAUAUUGUGACUCUCGUGACUUAAAAGAAACUAAAGUUGCAGAUUCAAAUUUAAGACGAGCAUUGAUUGGUCACAUCAAAAUAAUUUGUUUUUGUAGUUCAUGACUCAGUUUGCGAACUACUUUACUUUUUUCCGUUAAUAAAUACUGCCUAUCUUUACCCAUCCUUCAUCUUUCAAUUUUCUUUUAUCCAUUUCAUAUCUCAUUUUUCUCUUAUCUGUUUCAUAUCCUUCAGCUUUCAUUGUUCUCUCAUCCAUUUCAUAAAGGAUGACGGAAACUUAUGUAAAAGUAUAUUUAUUUUGUGGUGGUGAAGUUGUGUAUGAUGCGGGUUUGGUUAGGUACAGUCGACAUCCUGAAAUAGGGCAAAGGUUUUCAAUUUUCCUAAAAUACAAUCGUCUGCAACGCGUCUUAAGGAGUAAAAUGUUCGUAAAUGAUCCUGAACUUUCGGUGGUUAUCACCGGACGAUGUCCAAGGUCAUUUACAGCCGAUGGUUUACCAAUUUAUGGUGAGAUGCCGAUUUUCUUCAUAGUCCUGAGAUUUUUAAAAAUCACAUAAGCAUAGCGGCGCUUGACAUGUAUGCUACUGUUGAACGCUCUACCCAGGUUGAAGUACCUACCGACAAUGAAUUCGAGUUCGGAGGUACUACCUAUCUCCCAAGUUUGAAUAUUGGUUUUCCAAGGGGUGUAGUUCAACAACAAACAAUGGUAGGAUUUGGUAGUUAAUCAAACUAUACGACUAAUUAUGGUACACAGUAUGAUGGUGUGGAUUAAACGCACUAUCAUAACUUUGAUUGGAGCGGGCAGAACUGUGAGACGGGAGACCAAGUAAUGCUACUACGCAAUCGCAGAAUUUGGAUUGUAAUGUCCGACACCCUUCACAUCCAGGUCCAAGUGAAUUGGACAGUGAUAGGUAAAUAUAAUCAUAUUUUGUUCACUUUAUUCAUGGAUCUUAUAAUUGUGUUUGACUUGUAAAUUCUAUGAAUUUUCCUUAUCUAUAGGCAUAACGAUUUUGAAGAUAACCCCACAUUGACUCAGCUCACACAAAUUGUGAGCAACAACGAUUUAGCUAAUGAUAUAAUAAAUGAGUCCGAUAGUGAUAGUCCAUUAGAUCAUGAAGGGACGGAUGAUGAUCAAUCGUCUGCUGACGACAACGAUUCUGAUGAAGACGUUGUGGCCCCCAGUGAUCUUAGUGUUAAUUGUCAUUCAAAUGUGAUCCCAUAUUUGGAUAAUAUAGAAGAAGCAGCGGAAGAUUUUGCAUACAUGAGAGGUAACGGGUCUGUUCGGGCUGCACUUUGGAAUUUUAGAAAUCCUAAUCGGAUAGCGAUAGUCCAUUAGAUCAUGAAGGGACGGAUGAUGAUCAAUCGUUUGCUGACGAUGACGAUUCUGAUGAAGACAUUGCGGCCCCCAGUGAUCUUAGUGUUAAUUAUCAUUCAAAUGUGAUCCCAUAUUUGGAUAAUAUAGAAGGACAGGAAUAUUUUGCAUACAUGAGAGAUAAUGGGUCUGUUCGGGCUGCACUUUGGAAUUUCAGAAAUCCUAAAGUUACCAAAUCAGGUAUGUUAUUUCACAACAAGAAGCAAAUGAAAAGUGCAGUGAGACUCUACAAUAUAGCCAACAAAAAAGAAUUUAAAACGGAUCAAGCCAAAGGUACAUUUUGGAAGGUUAUUUGCAAGCGGCAUGAGUUAAGUUGAAGUUGGAUGAUUCGUUUUUCGUUGAUCGGAAAUGGUAUGUGGAAAGCAGGCAAAGUGGUUGAGCCACACACAUGUCCAUUCAGGAAGUUAUAACAGGGAUCCACAAGUAUAAUCCUAGUUAUAGAAAAGCGCAAAAAGGGCGUAAGAGAGCUUUUGAGAGGGUGUAUGGUGAUUUCGAAGGUUCAUUUAGGGCGUUGCCUCGAUACAUCGCUGCCCUACAACAUUUCAAUCUCGGCACUGUUGUUGAGUGGACACACGAGUCAACUACAAUGCAAGGCGAACACAUCUUCAAGUAUCUUUUCUGGGCCUUUCAACCAAGCAUCAAUGGAUUCAAAAGUUGCAGGCCGGUCAUCUCAAUAGAUGGCACCCAUGUCUAUGGUAAGUAUGAGAUGAAAUUGUUGAUUGGUGUUGGAAUUGAUGCAAACGUAAAUAUUUUCCACUUGCAUACGCUAUAGUUGCACGUGAGAACUUUGAGUCAUGGACUUGGUUUCUCUGUUUAUUAUGGAGACAUUGUUUGUGAUAGAAAAGGAAUUGGACUAAUUUUCGGCCGUCAUCAAGGCAUCUUGCAAUGUAUCCAAACACAUGAAUGGUUACAGCCACCCACCACACACCAUAGAUUUUGUUUUCGACAUUUGAAAAGCAACUUUAACAAAAAGUUUCUUAACUCUGAUCUUGAGAACCUAAUGUCGUUGGCGGCUACAGAGCACCAGAUGAAGAAAUACCGAAUGAGGAUGCAACAAAUCAAAACUUUGUCACCUCCCGCGCAUAUGUGGUUGAGCGAACUUCCGAAGGAAAAAUGGACAUUGUAUAAGGACGAUGGUUGUAGGUGGGGAGCUAUGACGACAAAUGUCUUUGAGUCUUACAACGGUUUAUUGAAGAAAGCCUGUGGACUGCUUGUUACUGCCAUGGUUCGCAUGACCUUUAAAAAUCUUGUUGAUCGUUUCGUUAAAAGAAGUGCCCUUGCUGCUUUGCUAAUUGUAAAUAAGAAAACUUGGCUGCCCGUUGUUGAUAAGAAAUUCCAUGAAUAUUGGGAAAGGGCCAACAUGCACACUGAUGUGAUGAACUAGGGCGGAAAUAUCCAUAAAGUCUCUGACAAUGGAAAAAAGUGUUCAUGUGGGAAGUUGAAAAACUACCAUAUGCCAUGUUUCCAUGCAAUUAAGUUUUGUCGGAUCCGUAAAAUUCAGCCCAAGGACUAUGUUAGCAAGUACUACAAUUGCAGGUAUUACAACGUACAAUGGAAAGUUUUCUCCCUUGGGUGAUGAGGCAUAUUGGCCUGCAAGUCCCUUCCGUUUAAUUGCAAACACUGCAUACGAGCGAACUUCUGGAGCCCAGAGAAAAACUGGAAGGAGGAAUGAAAUGGAUAUUGCUCCUGCUCGCAUGGCUAGGAGGUGCAGUACUUGUAGGCAAACCGGUCAUAACAAGAAGCGUUGCUCCAAUCGUACUCAGUAGUUGUUGUUGCUUAUUUGCUAUUGUUUACCUAUCACUGUCCAAUUCACUUGGACCUGGAAUUACAAUCCAAAUUCUGCAAAUGCGUAGUAGCAUUACUUGGUCCCCUGUCUCACAGUUCUGCUCGCUCCAAUCAAAGUUAUGAUAGUGCGUUGAAGCCACACCAUCAUAUUGUAUACCAUAAUUAGUCAUAUCGUUUAACUGACUACCAAAUCCUACCAUUGUUUUUUAUUGAACUACACCCCUUGGAAAACCAAUAUUCAAACUUGGGAGAUAGGUAGUACCUCUGAAAUCGAACUCAUUGUCGGUAGGUACUUCAACCUGGGUAGAGCGUUCAACAGUAGCAUACAUGUCAAGCGCCGCUAUGCCUAUGUGAUUUUUAAAAAUCUCAGGACUACGAAGAAAUAACGAUAAAGAUUCAUCGUCCAUAAUCGGCAUCUCACCAUAAAUUGGUAAACCAUUGAUUGUAAAUGACCUUGGACAUCAUCCGGUGAUAACCACCGAAAGUUCAGGAUCAUUUACGAACAUUUUACUCCUUAAGACGCGUUGCAGGCGAUCGUAUUUUAGGAAAAUUGGAAACCUUUGCCCUAUUUCAGGACGUCGGCUGUAUCUAAUCGAACGGUCAUACACAACUUCACCACCCCAAAAUAAAUAUACUUUUACAUAAGUUUCCGUCAUCUUUUAUGAAAUGGAUGAGAGAAAAAUGAAAGCUGAAGGAUAUGAAACAGAUAAGAGAAAAAUGAUAUAUGAAAUGGAUAAAAGAAAUUGAAAGAUGAAGGAUAUAACAUGGGUAAAGAUCAGUAUUUAUUGACGGAAAAAAGUAAAGUAGUUCGCAAAUUGAGUCACGAACUACAAAAACAAAUUAUUUUGAUGUGACCAAUCAAUGCUCGUCUUAAAUUUGAAUCUGCAACUUUAUUUUCUUUUGAGUCACAAUAAAAACGAAAUGUUAAAAAGAAAAACACACAACAUGUCCAGCGAAGUGCAAAAAAAUAAGAGCAUUUCGUUGGGCUCUUGGCGAAUGUGGGAAAAAAAAAAUUUAACUACAUUUCGUUAUAAUCAUGGCGAAAUGUUAUGUUUUUUUUUUUUUAGAUGGAGACGUUAAUGUUUCUUAACAUUUCGUUGCACGUGCAACGAAAAAACCCAUUUGGGUAUAGAAAAUUUUUUGGCAUGCCAUUUUGGCGCCGGACUCAUGGUUAACUUCUAAGGUUAAAUUUGGGUAGAUUACUUCAUAUAGACUUUCGAAAAAUUAAUAGCCAAGUCUUUGGUGAAGGUAGAAGGUUAUAAAGAUAGCAGUAACAGAAGAAAGAACAAAUCAAUUGAAUUGGCUAUCAACAAGCUCCAAGUAGUUAAAUUAAUUUGAAAAUGAGCUUUAUUUUAGGGGUUGAUUUUCUUUUGAAAUUUCAGGGACUCUAAUGAGGAGCAAGUGAUUGUCUUUUAAUGUAGUAAACUUCACCCUUAUCCCCACCCCACCCCCCAAAAAGAAAGGCACCCCUGCCCAGUAGCCCAAUAGUGGCUAUUUGAUAUUUCCCACUUUGCUUCCUUGGUGACUCGAAAAAAGGUAAGUUUUGUUAUAUUGGAUAUUAUAACACCGAUGGAGGUCCUAUAGUUUCAUCAUAUAACAGUUCAGUAUUACUUAGGACCGCGUAGAUGGUAGUAGGGGGCUUUAAGCUAGCAAAGUGACAAGGGUGAUCAAGUGGAAUGAGAGGGGAUGCACAGGGCUCUUUUGGUGACAAAUGCUGGGAUUUUUUUUUCCUUUAGUAGGCUAAUAGACAGUACCUCUCCCCCCUCCGCCAAAAAAAAAAAAAAGGAAGAAGCUGGAAUAGUUGGCUUAGUUCCAUAUGUGGAAGAGA
This is a long non-coding RNA of Lycium barbarum (goji berry), 5850 nucleotides long. RefSeq lists it as uncharacterized. NCBI's taxonomy places the organism in Eukaryota, Viridiplantae, Streptophyta, Magnoliopsida, Solanales, Solanaceae. The record is from RefSeq and is a predicted model, not a curated record. The transcript has 2 exons.